Molecule: long non-coding RNA, 247 nt
Filed under: Brassica napus (rape)
Lineage: Eukaryota; Viridiplantae; Streptophyta; Magnoliopsida; Brassicales; Brassicaceae
Description: long non-coding RNA (BNAP_LNC021382)
Source: RNAcentral
ACAAAAAUGGCGGAGAUAACUAUUAUUUUGAUUCCAUACUUCAAAUCUUUCGAUUCUUGCUGUUUCUAGGUUUACUCAAUCCAAAUUUUGAUGAAACUGACUUUGGAUCUGAAUCGCUGCACUUUCCUCCCACGAACCCUAGAAUCACCUCCUACUUUGAACUUCAUAGAGAAACGAUCAGAUGUUACUUUGCUCUCUCCUCUUAUCUUCCCCCGUGACCCUAACUUCUUACUCUCACGGUCUCAAA